Molecule: transfer RNA, 63 nt
Filed under: Chelurotropella siamensis
Lineage: Eukaryota; Metazoa; Arthropoda; Insecta; Hemiptera; Urostylididae
Description: tRNA-Trp
Source: RNAcentral
AAAGUUUUAAGUUAAUUAAACUAUUAACCUUCAAAGUUUAAUAAAUGUAAUACAUAAGCUUUA